UCUCAUGAGUUCCGGGUUUCGCGAUAAACGCAGCCGAUUUUAAACUGGUUCGUUGUCGACGAAACCUGCAAUUAUUGGGA
This 80-nucleotide microRNA precursor is filed under the name Dendroctonus ponderosae (mountain pine beetle). Its description in RNAcentral is "mir-981 microRNA precursor family". It matches the Rfam family "mir-981 microRNA precursor family". The record is from Rfam by way of RNAcentral. Lineage: Eukaryota; Metazoa; Arthropoda; Insecta; Coleoptera; Curculionidae.